AAUGAGAUCGAUAGUUAGAGAUUUUUUUUUUUUUUAUGUACAAGAUUAUCAUAUAGGGUGGAUUUGCCCUAUCUGAUAAUCUUGUUAAUAUGGGACUGCAGUGCAUAUGCAGUCUAAUGGCUUUUAAUUUUAUGUUUCGUUUUCAACUGAUUGUAUAUUAAUAAUCUGCUUCAUCUGGUCCCAGUAGUCUGUAUAUGAACCUCUGUUUUCUGUCUCAGCGGCUAAUGGCUAUAUUGAAACCAAACCACUAGGCUUAUGUUGCUAGAUAGGUGUUCUUGAUGAAAGCAGCCUACCAUGAAAUUCAUUAACAGAACAUAACUCUAAUAUACUUGUACUUCAAAGUCUGAGCAUAACUUAGUGUUAGUUAGAAUGUUAAUUUCCAACCAGGGCUGGGAUAUUUAUUAUGAUAAAUUUGCAGUAAUGACAAGGCGUGACUAGAAUUUACUAUGUCAUUUUGGCUCAAUUUAUUUACACAUGGUGAUUCCAGACCCAUCUCCUUCAAUGAAGAAUAGUAGGGCAUAUAUUCGUCUGUCGGAGGAGAAUGCACGAAACAAGACUGAGGCAGAAAUGUACAAGGCAAAACUAGACUCCAUGCUGGGUGAUAUUGCAGAGUUGAGAAGGAAUUUCUCAGAGCAUGAGAAGCUCUUAAUGAGCUAUCGGAACACUGACUUAGAGGGUGGUAGUGAGGCUCAUAGAGAGACUCACAGAGAUGAUUAGUUUUCUACGUGACAUUGGGAAGUCUUUUUUGUGGAUGGCUAACAUUUGGGAAUUAUGAUUUUUGUGGAGGGCCAGUUUGACAUGGCCAUUUUUGGGUGGAAUGUAUCACAAUUUGUUAGCCUGUAGAUAUGUGUUGGCCAUGGACUUAUGUUAUACAGUUUUUUUUUUUUUUUUGGUAAUGUAUGGUUGAAUCUAGUUAGGGUGGAUAUGAGUUAACGACUGCUGCAACAAAACUAAGAUACUGGGUCAUGUUUUUUGAUGGGUUGUUACUAAGAGAAUGAAGGGUUAGCAGAAUGAGAAGACUGAAAUCAGUGCUACAUGGAUGGAGGAUGUUGGUUGCAGUGACCACGAUUUCAUGAUAAAGCAGCUUACCAGGGAAAUAGGUCAUCAUUUACCAACAUGCUGUGUGGAAUCAGGGACUGGAAUCAAACACCUGUCAAACAGAGAUCUUCAGCAAGAAGCCAUACACAAUUUUUUUAUUAAACUGUCAUAUAUGGACCUCUUGGUUAUCAUUGA
This is a long non-coding RNA of Carya illinoinensis, 1233 nucleotides long. RefSeq lists it as uncharacterized. The transcript is spliced from 3 exons. NCBI's taxonomy places the organism in Eukaryota, Viridiplantae, Streptophyta, Magnoliopsida, Fagales, Juglandaceae. The record is from RefSeq and is a predicted model, not a curated record.